RNAcentral lists this non-coding RNA (71 nucleotides) under unclassified sequences. The record is from RNAcentral.
AUCGCCAACAACAGCAGCCUCCACGCGGCUGGCGAUGUGCAACGGGGUGAGAACUCCGACUGAUAGCUGUU